CCUACGGGUGGCAGCAGUGGGGAAUAUUGGGCAAUGGGCGCAAGCCUGACCCAGCAACGCCGCGUGAAGGAAGAAGCCUUUCGGGUUGUAAACUUCUUUUGUCAGGGACGAAGAAAGUGACGGUACCUGACGAAUAAGCCACGGCUAACUACGUGCCAGCAGCCGCGGUAAUACGUAGGUGGCAAGCGUUAUCCGGAUUUACUGGGUGUAAAGGGCGUGUAGGCGGGAUUGCAAGUCAGAUGUGAAAUCCCAGGGCUCAACCUUUGACCUGCAUUUGAAACUGUAGUUCUUGAGUGAUGGAGAGGCAGACGGAAUUCCUAGUGUAGCGGUGAAAUGCGUAGAUAUUAGGAGGAACACCAGUGGCGAAGGCGGUCUGCUGGACAUUAACUGACGCUGAGGCGCGAAAGCGUGGGGAGCAAACAGGAUUAGAUACCCCUGUAGUC
Molecule: ribosomal RNA, 443 nt
Filed under: uncultured bacterium
Lineage: Bacteria
Description: partial 16S ribosomal RNA
Rfam family: Bacterial small subunit ribosomal RNA
Source: RNAcentral